RNAcentral lists this ribosomal RNA (679 nucleotides) under uncultured archaeon. RNAcentral describes it as "bacterial SSU rRNA". It matches the Rfam family "Archaeal small subunit ribosomal RNA", at positions 1 to 681 of the family's 1478-position model. The record is from RNAcentral.
UUCGCCCUUCGGUUGAUCCUGCCGGACCUGACUGCUAUCGGAUUGAUACUAAGCCAUGCGAGUCAUUGUAGCAAUACAAGGCAGACGGCUCAGUAACGCGUAGUCAACCUAACCUAUGGACGGGAAUAACCUCGGGAAACUGAGAAUAAUGCCCGAUAGAACAUUAUGCCUGGAAUGGUUUAUGUUCCAAAUGAUUUAUCGCCGUAGGAUGGGACUGCGGCCUAUCAGUUUGUUGGUGAGGUAAUGGCCCACCAAGACUAUUACAGGUACGGGCUCUGAGAGGAGUAGCCCGGAGAUGGGUACUGAGACACGGACCCAGGCCCUAUGGGGCGCAGCAGGCGAGAAAACUUUGCAAUGUGCGAAAGCACGACAAGGUUAAUCCGAGUGGUUUCUGCUAAAGGAACCUUUUGUUAGUCCUAGAAACACUAACGAAUAAGGGGUGGGCAAGUUCUGGUGUCAGCCGCCGCGGUAAAACCAGCACCUCAAGUGGUCAGGAUGAUUAUUGGGCCUAAAGCAUCCGUAGCCGGCUCUGUAAGUUUUCGGUUAAAUCUGUACGCUCAACGUACAGGCUGCCGGGAAUACUGCAGAGCUAGGGAGUGGGAGAGGUAGACGGUACUCGGUAGGAAGGGGUAAAAUCCUUUGAUCUAUUGAUGACCACCUGUGGCGAAGGCGGUCUACC